UACGUAGGUGGCAAGCGUUGUCCGGAAUUAUUGGGCGUAAAGCGCGCGCAGGCGGUCCUUUAAGUCUGAUGUGAAAGCCCACGGUUCAACCGUGGAGGGUCAUUGGAAACUGGGGGACUUGAGUACAGAAGAGGAAAGUGGAAUUCCACGUGUAGCGGUGAAAUGCGUAGAGAUGUGGAGGAACACCAGUGGCGAAGGCGACUUUCUGGUCUGUAACUGACGCUAAAGCGCGACAGCAUGGGGAGCAAACGGG
RNAcentral lists this ribosomal RNA (253 nucleotides) under uncultured bacterium. RNAcentral's name for it is "partial 16S ribosomal RNA". It matches the Rfam family "Bacterial small subunit ribosomal RNA", at positions 524 to 776 of the family's 1533-position model. The record is from RNAcentral.